UACUCAGAGUAGCAUUGGUUACUUAGACUAUAGUCACCAAGACCUCUCUGAGUAGA
RNAcentral lists this microRNA precursor (56 nucleotides) under Cavia porcellus (domestic guinea pig). RNAcentral describes it as "Cpo-Mir-506-P27b_pre stem-loop". Lineage: Eukaryota; Metazoa; Chordata; Mammalia; Rodentia; Caviidae. The record is from RNAcentral.